GCAGUCGGACGGCAGUUUUUCUUUCGGGAGAAUGAGAGUGGCGCACGGGUGCGUAACGCGUAUGCAACCUACCCCAUACUGGGGGAUAGCCCGGGGAAACCCGGAUUAAUACCCCAUGGUAUAUAUGGACUGCAUGGUUUAUAUAUUAAAGAUUUAUUGGUAUGGGAUGGGCAUGCGUAGGAUUAGCUAGUUGGCGGGGUAACGGCCCACCAAGGCGACGAUCCUUAGGGGUUCUGAGAGGAAGGUCCCCCACACUGGCACUGAGAUACGGGCCAGACUCCUACGGGAGGCAGCAGUAGGGAAUAUUGGGCAAUGGGCGGAAGCCUGACCCAGCCAUGCCGCGUGCAGGAAGAAUGCCCUCUGGGUUGUAAACUGCUUUUAUCAGGGAAGAAAAGGCCCAUGCGUGGGACAUUGCCGGUACCUGAUGAAUAAGCACCGGCUAACUCCGUGCCAGCAGCCGCGGUAAUACGGAGGGUGCAAGCGUUGUCCGGAUUUAUUGGGUUUAAAGGGUGCGUAGGCUGCGGUUUAAGUCAGCGGUGAAAGUUUGGGGCUCAACCUUAAAAACGCCGAUGAUACUGAACUGCUUGAGUGCCGGUAGGGUACAUGGAAUUUAUGGUGUAGC
This 622-nucleotide ribosomal RNA is filed under the name bacterium SL2.6. RNAcentral describes it as "bacterial SSU rRNA". It matches the Rfam family "Bacterial small subunit ribosomal RNA", at positions 57 to 679 of the family's 1533-position model. The record is from RNAcentral.